RNAcentral lists this ribosomal RNA (449 nucleotides) under uncultured bacterium. Its description in RNAcentral is "bacterial SSU rRNA". It matches the Rfam family "Bacterial small subunit ribosomal RNA", at positions 328 to 793 of the family's 1533-position model. The record is from RNAcentral.
CUUCCAGACUCCUACGGGAGGCAGCAGUGGGGAAUAUUGCACAAUGGGGGGAACCCUGAUGCAGCGACGCCGCGUGGGUGAAGGAGUAUUUCGGUAUGUAAAGCCCUAUCAGCAGGGAAGAACAAUGACGGUACCUGACUAAGAAGCACCGGCUAAAUACGUGCCAGCAGCCGCGGUAAUACGUAUGGUGCAAGCGUUAUCCGGAUUUACUGGGUGUAAAGGGAGCGCAGGCGGCGCGUUAAGCCUGGUGUGAAAGCCCGGGGCCCAACCCCGGGACUGCUCUGGAAACUGCGUCGCUGGAGUACGGGAGGGGCAGGCGGAAUUCCUGGUGUAGCGGUGAAAUGCGUAGAUAUCAGGAGGAACACCGGCGGCGAAGGCGGCCUGCUGGACCGUGACUGACGUUGAGGCUCGAGAGCGUGGGGAGCAAACAGGAUUAGAUACCCUAGUAG